AUCUUGCCAUUCUUUGUGCAUCGUGAAAUCUCCGAAUUAUAGCUUCUUCUUCUGUUUCGUGAGGUUUUGUUAAUAGUCUGUGUCUAUUCUUUUUCUUUUCUUUUAUUGAAUUACCCUGUUUAUUUAAUUGCAAAGUAGCUUUUUUUCUACUCCACUUGUAAUUGUUCAUUUCGUUCAAUUUACAUACAAUGCCGUCUUCCAAUAACAAUAUAUAUUUAUAAUAAUAAUGGCAUACAGUUUAGAAAAAAAAUCACCCAUAAAAUUAUUUGAAUUUACCUCUCUUUUUCUUAUUGAUGUACGCGCAAGCGUGGAUAAUUCAGAAACCAAUCAUUGAAAUGGCGAAUCGUCGUGGAUACCGUCGUUAAAUAUUCGAAUUACGUGCAUUUCGACUAUAAAUUAUAAUUAAUUCCGUAUUAACAAUUGCGUUAAUGCAUCCUAAUGCCUUUCAUUCGUUUAUCGCUCUCAAAUAUUUGCAAUUAUUAUGAACACUUAUGAGGAGGAAGAUAUCGUCAUAGUUGCACGUUGUACAUAGGUCUUGAAUACUCGAUCACAUGAAUUAUAAUCUGUAGCGGUGAUUAUAACAGGAUAUUAAUUCCAAUGUAUAUUUCAACAUAUGAAUAUUAUUUUCUUUUAUCGUUGAUCAUUAUCCCAGUGUAUCUGUUUUUUAAAUUAUGGUCAUGGCUAGGUUGGCAAUUAUUUAUAAAUAAUUAAUAUUAUGUGCAUUGUA
This is a long non-coding RNA of Bombus terrestris (buff-tailed bumblebee), 727 nucleotides long. RefSeq lists it as uncharacterized. Lineage: Eukaryota; Metazoa; Arthropoda; Insecta; Hymenoptera; Apidae. The transcript is spliced from 2 exons. The record is from RefSeq and is a predicted model, not a curated record.